Molecule: ribosomal RNA, 492 nt
Filed under: uncultured bacterium
Lineage: Bacteria
Description: partial 16S ribosomal RNA
Rfam family: Bacterial small subunit ribosomal RNA
Source: RNAcentral
AGUGAACGCUGGCGGUAGGCCUGACACAUGCAAGUCGAACGGCAGCACAGUAAGAGCUUGCUCUUACGGGUGGCGAGUGGCGGACGGGUGAGGGAUACAUCGGAAUCUACUUUUUCGUGGGGGAUAACGUAGGGAAACUUACGCUAAUACCGCAUACGACCUACGGGUGAAAGCAGGGGAUCUUCGGACCUUGCGCGAUUGAAUGAGCCGAUGUCGGAUUAGCUAGUUGGCGGGGUAAAGGCCCACCAAGGCGACGAUCCGUAGCUGGUCUGAGAGGAUGAUCAGCCACACUGGAACUGAGACACGGUCCAGACUCCUACGGGAGGCAGCAGUGGGGAAUAUUGGACAAUGGGCGCAAGCCUGAUCCAGCCAUACCGCGUGGGUGAAGAAGGCCUUCGGGUUGUAAAGCCCUUUUGUUGGGAAAGAAAAGCAGCAGGUUAAUACCCCGCUGUUCUGACGGUACCCAAAGAAUAAGCACCGGCUAACUUCGUG